CUUCAUUAACUUCGUAGCCUCUAUCGCGAAGCAUCUCAAAAGCUGUCGUGCGAGCCAAGUAAAACCUCUUGCUUUCGAUUCCUCCGGUGUCCUCAGUCUUCGAAAUACAGUUGGUACCGUCGUCAAACGUCGACUCAACAUUUUCACAGCACCCUUCUUCGGCCAUUGUCUCCUCCAUUUUUCUCCUCUGUCAAUUUCAGAGUUUUGCUGUUGGAAGAGAG
Molecule: long non-coding RNA, 221 nt
Organism: Arabidopsis thaliana (thale cress)
Lineage: Eukaryota; Viridiplantae; Streptophyta; Magnoliopsida; Brassicales; Brassicaceae
Product: other RNA
Exons: 1
Source: RefSeq